Molecule: ribosomal RNA, 465 nt
Filed under: uncultured bacterium
Lineage: Bacteria
Description: partial 16S ribosomal RNA
Rfam family: Bacterial small subunit ribosomal RNA
Source: RNAcentral
ACGAACGCUGGCGGCGUGCUUAACCCAUGCAAGUCGCACGGAAAGGCCCUGCUUUUGUGGGGUGCUCGAGUGGCGAACGGGUGAGUAACACGUGAGUAACCUGCCCUUGACUUUGGGAUAACUUCAGGAAACUGGGGCUAAUACCGGAUAGGAGCUCCUGCUGCAUGGUGGGGGUUGGAAAGUUUCGGCGGUUGGGGAUGGACUCGCGGCUUAUCAGCUUGUUGGUGGGGUAGUGGCUUACCAAGGCUUUGACGGGUAGCCGGCCUGAGAGGGUGACCGGCCACAUUGGGACUGAGAUACGGCCCAGACUCCUACGGGAGGCAGCAGUGGGGAAUAUUGCACAAUGGGCGGAAGCCUGAUGCAGCAACGCCGCGUGCGGGAUGACGGCCUUCGGGUUGUAAACCGCUUUCGCCUGUGACGAAGCGUGAGUGACGGUAAUGGGUAAAGAAGCACCGGCUAACUACG